This 76-nucleotide transfer RNA is filed under the name Pseudomonadota bacterium. RNAcentral describes it as "tRNA-Trp". It matches the Rfam family "tRNA". From Rfam's summary of the family: Transfer RNA (tRNA) molecules are approximately 80 nucleotides in length. RNAcentral also lists the same sequence under 1 other name. Lineage: Bacteria; Pseudomonadati; Pseudomonadota. The record is from RNAcentral.
AGGGGCAUAGCUCAGUUGGUAGAGCACCGGUCUCCAAAACCGGGUGUCGUCGGUUCGAAUCCGGCUGCCCCUGCCA